This 334-nucleotide ribosomal RNA is filed under the name uncultured eukaryote. Its description in RNAcentral is "partial 18S ribosomal RNA". It matches the Rfam family "Eukaryotic small subunit ribosomal RNA", at positions 1470 to 1796 of the family's 1831-position model. The record is from RNAcentral.
CCCUUAGAUGUUCGGGGCCGCACGCGCGCUACACUGAAUGGAUCAACGUGCCUUUCCCGAGGCUGAAAAGUCGAGGUAAUCCGUUGAACCCCAUUCGUGACGGGGAUAGGAGCUUGCAAUUAUUCUCCUUGAACGAGGAAUUCCCAGUAAGCGCGAGUCAUCAGCUCGCGUUGAUUACGUCCCUGCCCUUUGUACACACCGCCCGUCGCUACUACCGAUUGAAACAUACGGUGAAAUUCUCGGAGAGAAGAGUUAGCGUGUUAAGUUCGCUUAGCACGCGCUAGUCUCAAAGUUAAUUAAAUCUCAUGUUUUAGAGGAAGGAGAAGUCGUAACA